AAGUACCUACGGGGGGCAGCAGUAGGGAAUCUUCCACAAUGGACGAAAGUCUGAUGGAGCAACGCCGCGUGAGUGAAGAAGGGUUUCGGCUCGUAAAGCUCUGUUGGUAGUGAAGAAAGAUAGAGGUAGUAACUGGCCUUUAUUUGACGGUAAUUACUUAGAAAGUCACGGCUAACUACGUGCCAGCAGCCGCGGUAAUACGUAGGUGGCAAGCGUUGUCCGGAUUUAUUGGGCGUAAAGCGAGUGCAGGCGGUUCCAUAAGUCUGAUGUGUAAGCCUUCGGCUCAACC
This 289-nucleotide ribosomal RNA is filed under the name uncultured bacterium. RNAcentral describes it as "partial 16S ribosomal RNA". It matches the Rfam family "Bacterial small subunit ribosomal RNA", at positions 333 to 614 of the family's 1533-position model. The record is from RNAcentral.